UUAAAAUUAAAUUAGAUACGCCAGCGUUUCACGUGGGAAGUCACGUGAUUGAGUAUCCACGUGUCAAUCCCACAAGUGAAAUAAUAGACGGGUUCCCAUUGUCCUACCUUCGCACCACCCCCGCGCGUGUCUCUUUGCCUCUCUCUCACCGGACACCAAUCAUUUGAUGCGACACGAGCUUCUUCUACGUUAUCCAUGUGAAUUGCACGUGAUCUCGCUUUGUUUGAGAAAUUAGAUUUCAUUGCACUAAAAUUGGUAGAGAGACAAUUAGAACUUGAGUGAUGGAUAAUUCGUC
This is a long non-coding RNA of Arabidopsis thaliana (thale cress), 295 nucleotides long. RefSeq annotates it as other RNA. Lineage: Eukaryota; Viridiplantae; Streptophyta; Magnoliopsida; Brassicales; Brassicaceae. The transcript is spliced from 2 exons. The record is from RefSeq.